Molecule: long non-coding RNA, 1743 nt
Organism: Homo sapiens (human)
Lineage: Eukaryota; Metazoa; Chordata; Mammalia; Primates; Hominidae
Source: Ensembl
UUUUUUUUUUUUUUUAUUAUACUUUAACUUACGGGGUACAUGUGUAGAACGUGCAGUUUUGUUACAUAGGUAUAUACGCGCCAUGGUGGUUUGCUGCACCCAUCAACUCGUCACCUACAUUAGGUAUUUCUCCUAAUGCUAUCCCUCCCCUAGUCCCCCACUCCCUACAGGCCCCAGUGUGUGAUGUUCCCCUCCCUGUGUCCAUGUGUUCUCGUUGUUCAACUCUCACUUAUGAGUGAGAACAUGCAGUGUUUGGUUUUCUGUUCUUGCGUUAGUUUGCUGAGAAUAAUGGUUUCCAGCUUCAUCCAUGUCCCCGCAAAGGACAUGAACUCAUCCUUUUUUAUGGCUGCAUAGUAUUCCAUGGUGUAUAUGUGCCACAUUUUCUUUAUCCAGUCUAUCAUUGAUGGACAUUUGGGUUGGUUCAGUUUCCUCUCACAAAGGAAAUUAGGGAAGCAAUGAAGAUAAUAGGAAUUUAUAAGUUAGGAAACAAAAAUAAUAGAAUCAGUCAAUACAAGAGCUGUCGUUUGAAAGUCCUAUUAAAUUGAUAAGCCAUUGGCCAACCAAGAAAAAAAGGGGGAAGAAAAGACAUAUAUUUAAAAUUAGAAACCAGAAGGGGAAAAUAAUCACAAACAUCAGCAAAACUGAAAGGAUCUACAGGAGUACCUUGCAAAAUAGAUGUGAAUAAUUGGAUGAAAUGGUUGAUUUUCCAGAAUAAUGUAAAUCACCAAAACUGAUCCCAGAAUAGGGAAAAAUCUAAACAGGGCAAUAUAAACAUAGAAGAAAAUGAGAAUUUUAGCAAAUGAGUAUCUUUCAAAAAUGUAUCAGGCCCAGACCUUUUUACAAGUUAACUCUUUCAAGCCUUCAUGGGAUAUAAUUCUGACACUACUCUAACUUUGUCAAAGAAUAGAGAAAGAAGAAAUAACUUCUGAACUAUCUUUACACAAUCAGUAUAAUACUGAUAGGAAAACUUGACUGAGUUCAGAAAAAGAAAACGAAGUAGAGAUCUCACUUGCAUCAGAACAAAAUGUCAAUCUAUUAGCAGAUAAUAUUCAUCAGUAUUUUUUGAAAAUACAAUACCACAAGAAAGAAACAGGAUGAUUCAAUAUUAAGAUUCUAUUAAAAUAAUUCACUGUAUUAGAAGUAAAAGUGAAAAUGAGAUUAUAUCUAUCACAUUAUAAAAAAUUAGGAGAUUAUGUCACAGAACAUGUGACAAAAUUCAACAUUUGUCCCUGAUUGCCAAGAAGGGAGACCAGUAAGAUAGGAGUAUAUAAAUAUUCCAUUGACAUUGUAAAAAUAAACAUUUCAAACUAAGAGUCAGCAUAUUUAAUUAAAUAUCAGAAGUAUUAUUUAUUAAAUGAGGGGAAAAAUGAUGCCUACACCAUGAGUCAAUUUUUUCUGAAACCACUAGUCAUCAUAAUUAGGAAUGGGAAAUAAUAUUUGAAAAGAGGUGGCCAGGCGCAGUGACUCACAUCUGUAAUCCCAGCACUUUGGGAGGCCAAGGUAGGCAGAUAACCUCAGUCAGGAGUUCAAGACCAGCCUGGCCAAUAUGGUGAAACCCCGUCUCUACUAAAAAUUCAAAAAUUAGCCAGUCUUAGUGACACGCGCCUGUAGUCCCAGCUACUCGGGAGGCUGCGGCAGGAGAAUUGUUCGAACCCAGGAAGCAGAGGUUGCAGUGAGCUGAGAUCACACCACUGCACUCCAGCCUGAGCGACAGAGCAAGACUGUCUCAAAAAAAAAAAAAAA